RNAcentral lists this ribosomal RNA (433 nucleotides) under uncultured bacterium. RNAcentral's name for it is "partial 16S ribosomal RNA". It matches the Rfam family "Bacterial small subunit ribosomal RNA", at positions 29 to 507 of the family's 1533-position model. The record is from RNAcentral.
AACGAACGCUGGCGGCAUGCCUAACACAUGCAAGUCGAACGAGACCUUCGGGUCUAGUGGCGCACGGGUGCGUAACGCGUGGGAACCUGCCCUUAGGUUCGGAAUAACUCCCCGACAGGGGUGCUAAUACCGGAUAAUGUCUUCGGACCAAAGAUUUAUCGCCUUUGGAUGGGCCCGCGUUGGAUUAGCUAGUUGGUAGGGUAAAAGCCUACCAAGGCGACGAUCCAUAGCUGGUCUGAGAGAAUGAUCAGCCACACUGGGACUGAGACACGGCCCAGACUCCUACGGGAGGCAGCAGUGGGGAAUAUUGGACAAUGGGCGAAAGCCUGAUCCAGCAAUGCCGCGUGAGUGAUGAAGGCCUUAGGGUUGUAAAGCUCUUUUACCCGGGAUGAUAAUGACAGUACCGGGAGAAUAAGCUCCGGCUAACUCCGUG